Vicia villosa (hairy vetch) is the source of this 1282-nucleotide long non-coding RNA. RefSeq lists it as uncharacterized. The record is from RefSeq and is a predicted model, not a curated record. NCBI's taxonomy places the organism in Eukaryota, Viridiplantae, Streptophyta, Magnoliopsida, Fabales, Fabaceae. The transcript is spliced from 4 exons.
AUGAAAAUAGAAAAUAAAACAAAGAAAUUGGAAAGGGAUUAGGGUUACGUUACUUAGUGACGUUCCCAAUUCCCUCUGCUUCUUCCUCUUCACUCUCAAGCGUUAAAACGGCUGCGAACUCAACGGCGGCGAUAAUCCGCUCAUUCCGAUCAGCUCUCUCUACCACCGUGAAUCGACAAAACAACACCACCUCGUUUCGCUGACUCAAGAACUUAGCGCCAUUCGCACUCUCUCGGUCUAUUUCAAACGCGAAUCACAAUGAGAAAAUCCAGAUGAUCCGCUUCCGAUUCAGGCAUGAACAUCUUGCACGAUACACUUCUUUUCUUCUCUUUCUAUUGAACUUUGUGAAUUCUUUGUUUUCGAGGUUGUUGUGUUGAGUAGCGUAAAGCUCGGUUUGCUUCAGAAUUCAAGGCGAGCUUUGAGCAAUUUUGAUUAUGGCCUUUUGUAUGAGGAAGGUGGAGGAGAGAAAUUGAAGGAAGGAGAUGGUUCAGAGAUCGAGAUGAAGAGGUGAGAGCGUGGUUAUCUUUGAGGGAAGCAAUUGGAGGUUGGUUCGAAGUAGAGAAAAUGAUGGAGAUUGAAGAAGGUGGAAGAUGAAGUUUGAAGAGUGAGAAUGGUGAAGGACUGAAAUGAGAUGAUUGCGGUGGAGAAGCUGAAUGAAGAAAUGGUCGAGAAGUGGUGAUUGAAGAACAAUGGUCAUGAAGUGGAGAGCCCAGAAUUAGAGGGAAGUUCCGAAUAUAUAGGUUAGUGGCAUUGAUGAUACGGAUGUGUUGCGGCCAGUGUACCGAAUCCUAGUUGAUGAGCAGGUGCCUCUGUUUUUUGUAGGUUAUUUUCUGUUAUGAAUGAAAGUAUGGGGCUGCAGGGUUUGCGGUGUUGUUACUUGUUGAAAAACGUUGGCGAUUCGAAGGUUGUCGUCGAGUUGUGAUCCUUUCUUUUUUGCUGUGUGAAAAUGGAGUCCGAAUGAGUAGUUUUAUGAAGGAUGCUGCUACUUGCUGGAAGUUGAAAUGUGUAGGGCUAUUAUAUUCCUUUUUUUUUUACACAAGCAUUAGCAUGGUAGUGCUCUUGAAGCCAAGACGAAGUCGAGUUUAGAAGAACUAGUCUGAAAGUUAUCUCUGUGCAAUGCAGUGGCUAGUAUAGUGUAAAUUAGAUCGGAUUUUGUAAUAGAUAAUGAGCUUGAACAUGUUGUAUGAACUUGGAAUGGCAUCAUGAUGUAACUGUAUUGGGAUUUCUUUUGUAAUUUAGUGAGCAUGGAUUGAAAUGUUGUAAUAAAAACCCUUUUUUUGCA